Molecule: long non-coding RNA, 2673 nt
Organism: Planococcus citri (citrus mealybug)
Lineage: Eukaryota; Metazoa; Arthropoda; Insecta; Hemiptera; Pseudococcidae
Exons: 2
Source: RefSeq, a predicted model, not a curated record
UUCGUAUAAGUGACUCAUUCGCGAAUGAAUCGAUUCAUUUGCUCAAUUUUUGAUGAAUCAUUCGUGAACGAAUUGAAUCAUUGUUGAUGAAUUAUUCGCGAACGAAUUGAUUCGUAUAAGUGACACAUUCGCGAACGAAUCGAUUCAUUUAUUCAAUUUUUGGUGAAUCAUUCACGAACGAAUCGAUUCGUAUAAGUAGCCCAUUCACGAACGAUUCGAUUCAUUUACUCAAUUUUUUAUGAAUCAUUCGCGAACGAAUUGAUUCACUUGCUCAAUUUUUGAUGAAUCAUUCGCGAACGAGUCAAUUCGUAUAAGUAAGUGACUCGUUCGAGAACGAAUCGAUUCAAUUAACUCAAUUUUUGGUGAUUCAUUCACGAACGAAUUGAAAUUAUUGUUUGUGAAUAAUUCACGAACGAAUUGAUUUGUAUAAAUGGCUCAUUCGCGAACGAAUUGAUUCAUAAAUUAAAGAAUUGAUCAAUUCGUUGGCGAGUGGUUCUUUCAAAAAUUGAUUAAUUCGUUUACGAAUGAGUCACCAAAAAUUGAGGGUCGUAUAAAAAUUACAAAAAACAAACCGAUAAUUUUGUUUCAGGCGGGUCUUACGACAAUUAAGUAAAAAUUAAAAAAUAUACCAAAAACUAAAAAAAUCAUAAAAAAGUGUAAAAAAAACUGCUUCAAAAUUAAAUAAUUGAAAAUUAUAGUUUUCGAGGAGAUAUUUUGGUGAUUUUUGCCCUCACGAGAAGUAUGGACGAUUUACCACCUUUCGGAGAAUUUACCAGCAAUAAAAAUGAAAUAGGAGGCUAUUUUUUUACUUGAAAUUUGAAAAUGACACAUUAUUCAUAAUUGGCCAUCUAUUUUCUUUUCUCAAUGCUUGAUUAAGCAAGAAAUUUAACGUGUCAGUUUCCAAAAAUUACAGAAUGACGUGACACCUUGAACAUUAUUUUUUCAGAUUUAUUGCAGCUCAAAUGUUAUGAUGACGAUAAAUUUCUCAGUUGAGUAACAUUAAAACGGUAGCUGGAAACUAAAUUUCUACCAGCUUUGGGUAAUAAAUUUUUAUAAAUGUACAUCGAGAAAUAUUUCGAAAGAAUAUCACCCAGGUACCUAUGCAUUAAAACUCGUAAUUUAUGAUUUUAGGUAAUGUGAUUUUUAACGAAUUUUAAAGCGACGGAAGUAACUGCUAACUGAAAUCCGUUGAAAAUCGUUUAUCUCUCCAAGUGGAUACACAUAAUAUAUUUUUUGUUAUUUAGAAAAAGAAUUGCUAGUUUGGUUUGUCCCCGAAUAAUCAGCGAGCCCGAGAUAACACACAAGUUUAAAGGGUUCUUUUCUUGGAAACGAAAAAUAUAAUAAAAUUCAUUUCCGCUGUAAAAUGUAGACAGAUAAACGUGCCCAUUCGAACAUGCAGCCUUUCAUCUCGCUUACAACAAGUGAUUGUAAAGCCGGCAGAAUUGGGCAAUAUUUUUGCAUAGAAAAGACAAUUAGCGAAGGGCGAACAAAAGAAACAGGUAGCUGGCAGUAAGAUACGAGCUCUAUUGUUCCCCACCCUUCGUUGGUAUCUGUGUGGUUGCUUACAUCCGUCAACAUUGAGCAAUCGCCUAGAGAUGAAACUGGUUUAACUGGUUAUUAAGAUAUAAGUACGUUUUCUACCAUCUAUGACAUUUCACUUCACAUCACUUAUGUUUUGAAAGUCCUUCUGCGCGGUAUGUUUUUUUUGCAUGUUCCUUAUUAUCCAUAAUAUACGUUGAUCGAAAGUUGGUUCAUUAAUUUAUUGAUUCCCGGUACCUGAAUUUGAUUCCUGGAUCAUUUAUUGAAAUUGCGGUUAUCUAAUACAUAUACCAUCCGAAUUCACUGAAAUGGCCACAAGUAAUCGAUCGGAUUUGCCUCUGCUGAGCCCAGUAUCGCUAAAAGAACUAUCAUCGAUCGCAAUGAGCCUAGCAAUCUGGCGCUGGCGUAUAGACAUACAUCGUAAGACCGAAACAUUGAGUCAAGUUAGGAUCCAAGAUCCGUUGACACUACAAGCCAUACUGAAGGCUAUGGGUAUGCUGCCACACUUACCAACCCUAGUACAAGAUCAAAUUACAUUUUGCAUGUCUAGGUUUGGCAAUUCGUUGUGCUCGUGGCUAUGUUAUCGACAUGGUGAGGUAUUUUAUUUGACUAGAAAGAAUCCAUUCGAAGUUUUAGAAGACUUCGAUGAUUUCGCGUGCACUCCUGGAGGCGUAAUCGAUUACAAAGCAACAUUCAAAAGAAUGAUUUCUUGCAAUAAAUUAAGGUCAUCUGAGAGGCUCGUAAUUGCGGUUUUAAGAACGUGCGUUUCCGAGGAAAUUCUCCGUCCUUUGUGGAUCGCUACGCAGAAAGAAAACAUCGACAAACAACAACUCGAUAUCGCUCUUUACAACUGGCGUCCGAAGUUUGACUGCCAAGGUUCGCAAAAACGUGUUUUGAGAUCGGCGAAACAGGGUUCGGAAAAACGUGUCAGAUAUCAUAAGUAUUUUUAGACUUGAAAUUUAUCUCAGCAAGUACCUACCUACUUGAUUAUAAGUUUUGAGUAUAAGUUGUAGUAUUUUGAUGUGUUGUUCGUUUAUUUUGUUUUGUUUUUUGUUUUAUUAAUUUUUAGCUUGUUUGUAAUUUGUAAAUAUGUAAUGACAAAUAGUUCAACAUGAUUAUUCCACGUACUAAUAA